Non-coding RNA from Paramuricea clavata, 671 nucleotides. The record is from the annotation of a GenBank genome assembly. NCBI's taxonomy places the organism in Eukaryota, Metazoa, Cnidaria, Anthozoa, Malacalcyonacea, Plexauridae.
UCCCAGAAAAAAAUUAGGAAAAAAAUCUUCCCAGGCAGUGCAAAAAAAAAUUCCUUCCUUGGAAGAUAGGCCUAUAAAUUUUAAUUAAAAAAUAUAUAUUUCCAGCCAUCAAGUGAGAAAAAAAAUUUCUUCUAUAGGUGUACGUACAAAAAAAAUAUAUGUUGCCUCUUAGAAAAUCCCCCCCCAUCACUUUUCUAAUGGUCCGUCCCUAAGGUUAUUCACCAAUAGUAAUGGGUUGAACUACUUGUUCAAGUCAGGAAUGCCCACUGGACAGGUAAGACCUGAUCAAACGAGGGUGAAAGUUGAUAACUCUCAUCGACUCUCAUCAACCAUAUCCAAGUUGAUACUUUGAGAAGAUUUCAAUUUUGAUGAGUGUUGAUGAGAUUUUUCACUACGCUUACCUCUCAUCAACUCUCGUGCAACUCUUAUUCUCAUAGAGUUGAGAAAACUCUCAUGCAAACUCUCGCUUGACCAUUUCCGUUUGACCAGGUCUUUAAUCCAAUAACGAAGAACCAUCCAUGCUUUUGCAUAAACUUUGCAGGAACAUAGUUGAGCUCGUGCUGCAACAGAGGGUAUUUAAAAGGUUAUUUUAGUUUUAUGAGAAAUUAUUAUUUUGCUUAAUGAAUAAUGUAAAUUUUAAAAUUUAAAUAAAAAUUGUUAUUUUCGUGUAA